This 240-nucleotide unclassified non-coding RNA is filed under the name soil metagenome. Its description in RNAcentral is "partial contains 5.8S ribosomal RNA, internal transcribed spacer 2, and large subunit ribosomal RNA". The record is from RNAcentral.
AACGGUCUAUACCUGCGGUACCUGCGGAGGGAUCAUCAUCCAAUUUUCAUCCCCUCCUCCUCCUCUCUGGAGGAAGUGGGUCAAUGAUAAACCCUUCUGUGCACCGUAAUCCGUUCACUUUGGCUGGCUUUGGUGGCGACGCUCGUCGUCUCCAACCUCGCGUUUCCCUCCGGGGCUACGCGUGGCGGCCAGCCGGAGUCCUACGAAAAACUCGUUUUUUUCUUGAACACGUCUGAAAAU